CCUACGGGAGGCAGCAGUGGGGGAUAUUGCACAAUGGGGGGAACCCUGAUACAGCGACGCCGCGUGGGUGAAGAAGCGCCUCGGCGCGUAAAGCCCUGUCAGCAGGGAAGAAAAUGACGGUACCUGAAGAAGAAGCCCCGGCUAACUACGUGCCAGCAGCCGCGGGAAUACGUAGGGGGCAAGCGGUAUACGGAUUUACUGGGUGUAAAGGGGGCGCAGACGGCGAUGCAAGCCAGGCGUGAAAGCCCGGGGCCCAACCCCGGGACUGCUCGUGGAACUGCGGGGCUGGAGUGCAGGAGGGGCAGGCGGAAGUCCUGGUGUAGCGGUGAAAUGCGUAGAUAUCAGGAGGAACACCGGUGGCGAAGGCGGCCUGCUGGACUGCAACUGACGUUGAGGCCCGAAAGCGUGGGGAGCAAACAGGAUUAGAUACCCGAGUAGUC
This 440-nucleotide ribosomal RNA is filed under the name uncultured bacterium. Its description in RNAcentral is "partial 16S ribosomal RNA". It matches the Rfam family "Bacterial small subunit ribosomal RNA", at positions 338 to 795 of the family's 1533-position model. The record is from RNAcentral.